Non-coding RNA from Ixodes scapularis (black-legged tick), 46 nucleotides. NCBI's taxonomy places the organism in Eukaryota, Metazoa, Arthropoda, Arachnida, Ixodida, Ixodidae. The record is from Rfam.
AAAUAGGCGCCUUUAGGCGCCACCCUUCCCCGAGAAAAGGAUGUUG